This is an unclassified non-coding RNA of Polistes dominula (European paper wasp), 2489 nucleotides long. The record is from RefSeq and is a predicted model, not a curated record. NCBI's taxonomy places the organism in Eukaryota, Metazoa, Arthropoda, Insecta, Hymenoptera, Vespidae.
UAUUAGAAGAGACCUGAAAGAAAUAGGAUACGAAGACAGCGAAUGGAAGGAUCGCGCUCAGGGACGGGAACAAUGACGGGAUUUGAUAUUUGGGGCAAUGGACUUUCCAGUUCCUAACGCUAACUAAUAAUAACAAUAAUAAUAAUGAUAAUUAAAAUAAUAAUAAUAAUUAAAUUAUAUAAUCUCGCUCUCCUAAAAAGGUUUAUAAGGUAAGACAAUUUUUGUUAAUGCUAAAUCUUGAGAUUGCAUGUAAACUUGAAUUGUCCCAUUGAAUACCGAAUUAACAAAAAUUGUCUUAACUAUUACACCUAAGAAUAAUAUAUAUAAAGACUGUUUAAAUUUACGUAUUAUUUAAACGUCCAAAUGUUUUGUAAUAAACCAUUUUGUUUAUCAAAAUGAUCCAAACGCAAAUAUUAGCGAUAUUUUCUUUUGAAUAUUCCUGUAAGACGCGUGCAAGGUGACUCGUAAUAAUAAUAACGCGUUCGGAAGAAAACGACUUUUGACUUCCCGCGUGUGUUAGCAAAAAAAAAAAGUAAACAUCAAAUACGGCAUCGUUGGUUCUAACGAUAGGUUACAAGAAUAAAGACGUUUUUGUUGGUAUAAGUGAAAAUGUAUUUAGUUAUUUUAAAGUUUUUGAUGUAUAUUUCACAUUUAUUUCUUGAAGUAUUCUUCGCCUUGGCAAUUCUGGGUAGGCUCAAAAUUAGUUCUAAUCUUCGAUGAUCUAGAAAAUAUUCAAAUUCUUUUAAAAAGCUCAAAAACUGAUAAGAAAAGUUUCCUAUAUUACUUUAUUAAUCAUACCUUGGGCGAUGGAUUAUUUACAGCACCAGAUAAAUUAUAAGCUCUCAGAUGGUUUCUUUUUAAUUAAUACAAAACAAUUACCAAAUUCAAAGAAUAAUUAAAUAGCUUAUUGGAAUCUGAUUUAAAUUUGCAAAACAAUCAAGACUGCAGACUAGAUAAAUAUUUGAAUGAUAUGAUGGAUAUAACUAUGGAAAGAUUCUCAAAAUUGUGGUUGUAUCCCAAUAUUAUAUUUAAGAAUUCAUCUUUAGGAAAGUGGUUACAUGAAAAUCUCACAUGCAUAAAUAAUAUAACAAACGAGAUUAUAAAGAAAAAGAAAGAGUCAAUACAGGAAGAGAAAUUUACCCGUGAAGGAAAUGGUCCAUAUGCGAGUAAAUUGACAAAAAUAAUAAAUAUUAUCGUCUGAUAAAUCUCAAGAGUAUCGUUUCAACAGGUUUCAAAGUAAAGGACAUUUUUAAGCCAACAUUUUCAACUGAUACUGGAUUAUCUAUUUAAAACAUUUACUGUUAAAAUAUAUCUGGAAAAAAUCCGUAUGUACUUCUCAAGAUAAUAGUACAUAGAUUAGGAAUUUCUUUUGUUUUUUAUUCUGGGUCUCAUAGUUGUCCAGGUAUAAGUCCGCCCGUUUUAGUAAAAAAAAAAAACAGGGUUUUGUUCAGUCACGAAUACUGACUAUGCCAUUUUCUAUCUAAAAUCAAUAAAAAUAUUUGUGUACAUAGUUCAAUAUAUGAUUAACCAACCCUCAAAAAAGAAAUUCUAUUCCUCAUUUAGUUUUCGCAAAAAAAGUUCCCAAAAAAAGGCUCUAUAGUGGUGUUAUCCCUUAAAUACGCUAUCGAUCUUAAUGAGAGAAAACUCCACUCAGAGAUUAAGAGGAAUAUUCUAGGAGGGCCAUAAUAUCAAAAACAAACUUAAGAAUUAACGAGAUAUAUUGAUGCAACGAAAACCUUUGUACAGUGUUGGUCCCUUUGAGAGGUUUCAGUUUCCUAUGUAAACACAUGUGAUACAAUAGAAAGUCAUGAUAUUCCAAUAUUCUAGACAAAGUUCAUUAUGCAUAGUUUCCACUACCAAAACCAUAGGCUGUACACAUCGGUGGACUAUAGGGGUGGAUCCUUUUGCUAUUGGUCAAUAAGAUUCAUAAUUUCCUUCUCUCUCCAAAGGGGUGUAGCUCAUUUCUGAUAUAAAUAUGUGAAAAGAAGUAAGAGAGCGUCCUUAUAGUCCACUAAUUAUACAAUCAGUCUGUCUGUAUAUAUCCGUCUGUGUAUUAUCUGUUAUAUCAGUCAUUCUGCAAACCAAUCAGUUUAUCAAUCAAUCCGUCAGUCGGUCUUAUAUUUAUUACUCUUUUGUAUUCUGUAUUCUUACAACCACGCCACUUUUUGUAAACAUUUAUAAAUACUGAACUCUGACAGCUCUGAAAAAAAUAUUCUGAGAAACAUGGAAUUAAAUAAAAGUUUAAAGAAAUUUUUAGAAACCUCAAACGUUUUCAACACAGCAAUAUCAAGAACUUUAAGAGAUAAUCUGCAAAGUUAAAAACAUCUGAUAUUAAUAAAUCAUAAUACAAAAAUCAGUAGGCACCAAACCAUUUUGUUUAAAAAAAAAAUAGAUUUAUGCGAAGAAAAAUUUUAAGAAAUUGAGUUUAUAGUUCAUUUGUAAUCUUUCCAUGUAAAAUUAUUAAAAAUUGUCUCUAUGAAAACUUACUA